UUGUGAUGAUGGUGUGUGUGUGGUUUCUCUGUUAGUCAGUAUUUGAAGACUCAGGCUUGUUUCUGUGGUCGAAAUGCCAGGAUGUCAGCUUGUCUCGUAAUUCUGGUUCACAUGUCACAAAUAACAUCACAUUGCCCGCGCAUCUUCAACCACAUCCUUUGUUUAUUAGCUGAUGAAUCUUACAUCACAUUUUAACACUAAAUAUACAAUAUUUUUUAGAUGAGCACAUAAUGCUAUUUAACUGAAAGCAACUAUCAAACAAUGAUAUCAUGUGUUAUCAUAAGUUUUUUUAGUUCCAGCUUGUUUCCUGCAGACUCUUCACAAACUCUUUUUAUCCUCUCAGGCUCUGGAGAGAGUGUCUGCUGGAGGAGGGUUGAAAGUCACUUUGGCACCAUGUAUAGAGGAUCUUAUCCUCCUUGAACAAACUUUGCUACUUGAAAGAGCAGCUUUGUGGACAUCCAGGCCCUGGCAGUUCUGUGUGAGAAAGAGAGGAAGAAGGAAACAAAGAAAAAAACACAAUUUUCUUUAUCAGGCAUCAGUGCUUUAUAGGGAACUGCAUGGGAAAAGAAGGAGAGUGAGGCCGAAGGGAAUUGGAAGGAAUGAGAGGAGCGAUUCAUCUUUUCAUCAGUGAUUCAAAGUGACUAACAGGAUGCACAGAUGGAAAAUACUCUGUUAUUAUUUCUCUCUCUUUCAAUCUCGUCUCUAUUUCUCCCUCGCACUCAAACAUAUGCCAAUCUCAUCUAGAAUGAUGCAUGAUGAGCUCCAUCUGAAAAUAAUCAGCUUCUUUUUUGUCUCACUGUCUGAAGUGUUAACAGGAUUUUAGUAAAUAAAUCUUUUUUUUUUUUCAGUUGUGGAUGAAAAUGUAAACAAGUUUUUGUAAUGUGUUUCCUAUCACAAAUUGGACAGCAAUGUAAAAGGUUUCAGAUUAAAAUGUUUUGCGCUGGAAAACAUUUUCCCAUAAUAUCCUCACUUCCUUAUUUGAGUCAGGAUGCAUGCAAACUAUAACAAAAUCUCUAAUUAGACCAGCAGCAUUUUACAUGACAAAUUUUUUAUACAUAUAACAUAUGGAAGGCAGAACUAAAACGACACUUGUAUUAUAAAUUUAAUUUAGUGCAGCUAUUCAAUAUUCUAUGGGACAACAGGUUGGGAACAGAUUUUGAGAAAUUCAGCAUUACAUCACUUGAAUGGAUCCUCUGCAGUGAAUGGGUGCCGUCAGAAUGUGAAUUCAAACAGCUGAUGAAAACAUCACAAUAAUCCACAAAUUGACAUCUAUUCUGUCUGACUGUGUAUCUGUAUUUAUAAGUUCAGAGCUUGUGUUGAUCCCUGAAAACAGCAGUUGUCCUCCAGUGGGGUUGAUGGUCAAGGGACAACAGCUUGAGGUCAGCGGGGUGGAACAGGAGUGGGUUGACUACACUGGGGUACAAAUAAUCUCCUCUGUCUCUCGUUCCUGUGUGUGACUCACACAGAUUCACACAUGCACUGAACAGGUUUUGCCCCAUGCUGCUCCUCUGUGGGGAUUUUAAGAGAUCCACGUGCAAAAAGCACAACUCACCACAGUUUUCUAGGGUCUACGAGCCUCCGGGACGUGAUCUGCUGCUGGAACAUUUGCUGAUUAUUUCAUCUGUGGACAUCUGAUCUGAUUUUGAGCUGGAAUUUCCCGCUGAUUCAGUGCUUAUGGACAGAUGUUGGUGGAACUGGUUAACAAUUGAACUAGUCUGGAGGUAGAGAAUGAAGAUAGAGAGAGCAUCUGUGAAGUUCUGCUUUGGACAGAAAAGAGUCUUAAAAGUGUUAAAGAAUAGUACAUUGCACAAACACAGAAGAAAUGGUGUUUGUAACAUGCUGGAUUGUAUUCUUCUGAAAGCACUGAUCUUGUUGUAUUUAGGUGAUAUUUUUAUCCCCCAACGGAAGUGUCUUUUUCUAUGACUUUUAAAAAGAGUUGAGAUUGUCGUUAUGCUGAUAUUUAAUAUGCCUCUUAAUUUAUUGUUGAUAAAUGAAAAAUUUGUCACCUACAGUGGUUGUUAAUGAAACUUAAAUUCUCAGUAUCUCUCAUCUCUCAGACCUCAAUGUGUUAUGAAGCACUAUUAUUUUGCUUUGUCUAAUUUCAGGCUUUUUAACCAGAACAGUUUACUACAAUAAAAAUGUAUGCUUGACCAGAAAUAAAGUAAUUAAGAAUUUUAUUAUAAGAAAAACAUAAAUACUGUAUUUCUGUUCCAGUAAGCGUUCAAAAUGUAGACACUCUCUACUGCUAUAACACGAGCACAAGACUCUUAUCAGCUCGUUGCUGGCAUCUAUUGAAAGACUAACGCAUUGCAGGAUGAAAUGCACCUUGCAGUCAUUAGAAUAGUUUUUUUGCUUCCAUCUUGUGGUUGAAAAACACAUUGCUACAUUCAACGGACAAGUCCAUGUUCUUUAAUACUUGCUGCAGUGAAUGAAAGCGGUUUAUUUACAAUAAGACAUAGAUUUUUGUACUAUUAUUCUAAUAAUAGAAUGAAAUUCUUGAAUGAAAAAUGUUUAAAAUAAUAAUAAUAAUAAUAAUGCCAGAUUAAAUUACAGGAUUGCAAAUUUGGGAGUU
Long non-coding RNA from Carassius gibelio (silver crucian carp), 2572 nucleotides. RefSeq lists it as uncharacterized. Lineage: Eukaryota; Metazoa; Chordata; Actinopteri; Cypriniformes; Cyprinidae. The transcript is spliced from 5 exons. The record is from RefSeq and is a predicted model, not a curated record.